GAGACAUGUUUAUAUUACUCAAAAAUAAUAAAUUAUUUAUUAUUUUUAUUUUUCGAAAUUAAUUAUAUUUGCUGAUAUCAAUAUUUAAACCUGUCUGGUCCUUGCUUUUAAUAAUUUUACGAUACCAUUUUAAUUCUAUACUGUUUCAGUAGUUCUAUAAGGUUUUUGAAGUUAAUAAUGUAAUUUUGUAUUGCUUUAAAUAAAAAUUGUUCCCGAAAAUUCUCUUAUGUCCAUUAUCGUGAAAUGUAAAAUUCUUAAUUAGCAAUUGUGACAUUUUUCUCAGAAGAUGAUUUGAUGUUGUGUUAUUUUUGUAUGAAAUUGUCAACGAAUAAUGAAAAUGAAUGACGAAACACCUGUUAGUUCUCUAGUUCUUCCGGUCCUCAUCAGACCAAUAUUAUUACAACUGGAGAAACACAAUGUUUCAGCUUCUCAAACAUUGAGGUCUGCAUUGUUUAAAACUGAAAAUGUAUAUCCAGGAUUUGUAUUUAAUCUGGUAUCUGGCAUAAUGAAAAAGAGUGAUAUUAGUAUAAACAUGAAUGAAAGUAUAUUAAGAUUACAAGGCUUAGUGUCUGAUCAUGAUGGUGGUGAAUAUCGAUUAAAUCGAUCUGAAGAAGCUUUCCAAGAGUUAAAUAAGAAGUCAAUGUCUUUAAAAAAAAUUUUAAGUCGUAUUCCAGAUGAAAUAAAUGAUAGAAAAACAUUUUUGGAAACUAUUAAAUAUCUGAUGUUUACUGAUGUAAAACCCAUAGUUGGUAUGGCGUGGUGGUCCCCGUCUUGUUGUUGGACCUUGAUUUGUCGGUGGCAAUAUGUUCACGUUCGUUAUAGUCUCUACUGUGACAGACCAUUUGCCUAUGGAAUUGAACGUAGGUGAUGUAAGAUGAGAUUUCCCUGAUGGUUAUUCACAUAACUACUAUCCUACUUGUUAUAACACACAUGCGGACAAGGGACCCAAUGGGGACAUGCCUUAAUACAUGGAGAUAGCUAGUGCAAUAAAAAAAUUACUUGAUGCAGUAAAUGAAGUAUCUGCAUAUAUACCUGGACCCAGUAAUAAACAAGUAUUAGAACAGCGAAAACGUGAAUUUGUUAAGUAUUCAAAACGUUUUAGUAAUACACU
This is an RNA transcript of Daktulosphaira vitifoliae (grape phylloxera), 1111 nucleotides long. It is a transcript of the gene named programmed cell death protein 10, with no coding region annotated. The record is from RefSeq and is a predicted model, not a curated record. The transcript is spliced from 6 exons. Lineage: Eukaryota; Metazoa; Arthropoda; Insecta; Hemiptera; Phylloxeridae.